UACAGCCAUAUCACAUUGAAACACCGAUUCCCGUACGAACAUCAAAGGUUAAGCAACGUCGAGCCUGGUCAGUACCUAGAUGGGUAACCCCUUGGGAAUACUAGGUGCUGUAAG
Molecule: non-coding RNA, 114 nt
Organism: Acanthosepion pharaonis
Lineage: Eukaryota; Metazoa; Mollusca; Cephalopoda; Sepiida; Sepiidae
Source: the annotation of a GenBank genome assembly